CUUGGCCACACCUGCAGCCUGUGAAGUUCCCAGGCCAGGGACCGAACUUUCACCAUGGCAGUGACCACACCAGAUCCUUAGCCCACUAGGCCAAUAGGGAACUCCAAGAGCUUUCAGAUCUUGAUGGAGCUAAAGGGGUGCAAGAGUGUGGUGGGUGGGACAGUUUGAGGGGGUCAGGAAACCAGUCAGAGGGUGAGGGUCUGCAGACCAAGCUGAAGCUGAGAAAUGGGUCCCCUGUGCUCCCCACAGGCUCCCAGCCAGGGGCAGUGACUCACCCUGCAGGUGGAUGGCCUCACAUAGGCUCGUACUAUAGUCACACCGGUAGAGACCACCUGUUUGGUUGGCAGCCCUUACCUCCUGGGGGGCGCCAACCACCAGCCUGGCAGGGGGAGAAGACAAGAACACAGCAGCUAAGAGUGUGGGCACUGGAGCCAGACUGCCCCUUGGCAAGUUUGUGUCCCCUGUCUGAGCCUCAGUUUCCUCAUCUGUAAAGUGGAGAUUAAUAACAAUUCUUUUUUAAUUUUUGCUUCCCUUUUUUUUUUUUUUUUUUUAAAAAGGGCUGCACCCACGGCAUAUGGAAGUUCCCACUCUAGGGGUUGAAUCUGAGCUGUUGCCAGCCACAGCAACGCUGGAUCUGAGCCCUGUCUGCGACCUACACCACCGUUCACAGCCAUGCGGGAUCCUUAACCCACUGAGUGAGGCCAGGGAUCGAACCCGUGUCCUCAUGGGUAUGAGUUGGGUUCGUAACCUGCAGAGCCAUGAUGGGAACUCCCAACGACAAUUUAAGUUCUGCAUGGGCGAGAUGUUUGUUAUCUUUAUUCCCAGGUGUGUGCCUGGCUCCUGAGACGUAGUAAUAGAUGCUCAAUAAACAUAUAAACAGACUCACAGGCAUGGAGAGCAGACCUGUGGUUGCCAAGGGGGAGGAGGAGGAGGAGGGAGUGGGAUGGACGUGGAGUUUGGAGUUAAUAGAUGCAAACUAUUACGUAUAGAAUGGAUAAGCCAUGAAGUCCUGCUACACAGUGCAGGGAACUCUAUCCCAUCACCUGUUUCUAAAUUUUUUUAUUAUAGCUGGUUUACAGUGUUCUGUUCAUUUCUGCUGUACAGCAAAGUGGCCCAGUGAUACACAUAGAUAUACACGUUGUUUUUCUCGUAUUAUCUUCCAUCGUGUUCCGCCACACGUGAUU
This 1184-nucleotide long non-coding RNA is filed under the name Sus scrofa (pig). RNAcentral describes it as "lncRNA (ENSSSCG00040011220.1)". Lineage: Eukaryota; Metazoa; Chordata; Mammalia; Artiodactyla; Suidae. The record is from RNAcentral.